GGAGGUGACAGGUGCCUGGUGGUGCUCCUGGUCUUCAAAACCAGUGCACGGCACGCAAGUGUCGUGGGUGGGUUCGAUUCCCAUUCACCUCCGCCA
RNAcentral lists this transfer RNA (96 nucleotides) under Planctomycetota bacterium. RNAcentral's name for it is "Planctomycetes bacterium (groundwater metagenome) tRNA-Sec". It matches the Rfam family "Selenocysteine transfer RNA". The record is from RNAcentral. Lineage: Bacteria; Pseudomonadati; Planctomycetota.